UCGCAAUGGGGGCAACCCUGACGAAGCAAUGCCGCGUGAAUGAAGAAGGCCUUCGGGUUGUAAAGUUCUUUCGUGGAGGACGAAAAGGUGGGUGCUAAUAUCGCCUGCUGUUGACGUGAAUCCAAGAAGAAGCACCGGCUAACUCCGUGCCAGCAGCCGCGGUAAUACGGGGGGUGCAAGCGUUAAUCGGAAUCACUGGGCGUAAAGGGUGCGUAGGCGGUGCAUUAGGUCUGUCGUGAAAUCCCCGGGCUCAACCUGGGAAUGGCGGUGGAAACCGGUGUACUAGAGUAUGGGAGAGGGUGGUGGAAUUCCAGGUGUAGCGGUGAAAUGCGUAGAGAUCUGGAGGAACAUCAGUGGCGAAGGCGGCCACCUGGCCCAAUACUGACGCUGAGGCACGAAAGCGUGGGGAGCAAACAGGAUUAGAUACCCUGGUAGUCCACGCCCUAAACGAUGAAUACUAGAUGUUUGGUGCCAAGCGUACUGAGUGUCGUAGCUAACGCGAUAAGUAUUCCGCCUGGGAAGUACGGCCGCAAGGUUAAAACUCAAAGGAAUUGACGGGGGCCC
Molecule: ribosomal RNA, 564 nt
Filed under: uncultured bacterium
Lineage: Bacteria
Description: bacterial SSU rRNA
Rfam family: Bacterial small subunit ribosomal RNA
Source: RNAcentral